This 380-nucleotide ribosomal RNA is filed under the name uncultured bacterium. RNAcentral describes it as "partial 16S ribosomal RNA". It matches the Rfam family "Bacterial small subunit ribosomal RNA", at positions 338 to 715 of the family's 1533-position model. The record is from RNAcentral.
CCUACGGGCGGCAGCAGUGAGGAAUAUUGGUCAAUGGACGCAAGUCUGAACCAGCCAUGCCGCGUGCAGGAAGACGGCUCUAUGAGUUGUAAACUGCUUUUGUACGAGGGUAAACGCAGAUACGCGUAUCUGUCGGAAAGUAUCGUACGAAUAAGGAUCGGCGAACUCCGUGCAAGCAGCCGCGGUAAUACGGAGGAUUCAAGCGUUAUCCGGAUUGAUUGGGUUUAAAGGGUGCGUAGGCGGUCGGCUAAGUUCGAGGUGCAAUCCCGAGGCUCAACUUCGGAAUUGCCUCUGAUAUGGUUCGGCUAGUGAGUAGUUGCGGUCGGCGGAAUGUAUGGUGUAGCGGUGAAAUGCUUAGAGAUCAUACAGAACACCGAUUG